CCCUUAGAUGUUCUGGGCCGCACACGCGCUACACUGAAGGAGGCAGCGUGUACUCCUGGAUCGAAAGAUUUGGGUAACCCGCGAAUCUCCUUCGUGCUAGGGAUUGAGGUUUGCAAUUAUCCUUCAUGAACGAGGAAUUCCCAGUAAGUGCAAGUCAUAAGCUUGCGCUGACUACGUCCCUGCCCUUUGUACACACCGCCCGUCGCUACUACCGAUUGAAUGAUUUAGUGAGGACUUCGGACUGGGACCGAUGCGGCUUUCGGGCUGCGUCGGUAUUCUGGAAAGAUGUCCAAACUGUCUCAUUUAGAGGAAGUAAAANUCGUAACA
RNAcentral lists this ribosomal RNA (327 nucleotides) under uncultured eukaryote. RNAcentral's name for it is "partial 18S ribosomal RNA". It matches the Rfam family "Eukaryotic small subunit ribosomal RNA", at positions 1470 to 1796 of the family's 1831-position model. The record is from RNAcentral.